RNAcentral lists this ribosomal RNA (430 nucleotides) under uncultured bacterium. RNAcentral describes it as "partial 16S ribosomal RNA". It matches the Rfam family "Bacterial small subunit ribosomal RNA", at positions 29 to 506 of the family's 1533-position model. The record is from RNAcentral.
AACGAACGCUGGCGGCAGGCUUAACACAUGCAAGUCGAACGCCCCGCAAGGGGAGUGGCGCCCGGGUGAGUAACGCGUGGAUAUCUGCCUUUUGGUUCGGAAUAACCCCGGGAAACUGGGGCUAAUACCGGAUGGUUCCUACGGGAUAAAGAUUUAUCGCCAAAAGAUGAGUCCGCGUACGAUUAGCUAGUUGGUGAGGUAAUGGCUCACCAAGGCGACGAUCGUUAGCUGGUCUGAGAGGACGAUCAGCCACACUGGGACUGAGACACGGCCCAGACUCCGACGGGAGGCAGCAGUGGGGAAUAUUGGACAAUGGGGGCAACCCUGAUCCAGCCAUGCCGCGUGAGUGAUGAAGGCCUUCGGGUGGUAAAGCUCUUUUGGCGGGGACGAUGAUGACGGUACCCGCAGAAUAAGCCCCGGCUAACUUCGU